RNAcentral lists this ribosomal RNA (2852 nucleotides) under Pseudomonas aeruginosa. RNAcentral's name for it is "bacterial LSU rRNA". It matches the Rfam family "Bacterial large subunit ribosomal RNA". Lineage: Bacteria; Pseudomonadati; Pseudomonadota; Gammaproteobacteria; Pseudomonadales; Pseudomonadaceae. The record is from RNAcentral.
GUUAUAUGGUCAAGUGAAGAAGCGCAUACGGUGGAUGCCUUGGCAGUCAGAGGCGAUGAAAGACGUGGUAGCCUGCGAAAAGCUUCGGGGAGUCGGCAAACAGACUUUGAUCCGGAGAUCUCUGAAUGGGGGAACCCACCUAGGAUAACCUAGGUAUCUUGUACUGAAUCCAUAGGUGCAAGAGGCGAACCAGGGGAACUGAAACAUCUAAGUACCCUGAGGAAAAGAAAUCAACCGAGAUUCCCUUAGUAGUGGCGAGCGAACGGGGAUUAGCCCUUAAGCUUCAUUGAUUUUAGCGGAACGCUCUGGAAAGUGCGGCCAUAGUGGGUGAUAGCCCCGUACGCGAAAGGAUCUUUGAAGUGAAAUCGAGUAGGACGGAGCACGAGAAACUUUGUCUGAACAUGGGGGGACCAUCCUCCAAGGCUAAAUACUACUGACUGACCGAUAGUGAACCAGUACCGUGAGGGAAAGGCGAAAAGAACCCCGGAGAGGGGAGUGAAAUAGAACCUGAAACCGUAUGCGUACAAGCAGUGGGAGCCUACUUGUUAGGUGACUGCGUACCUUUUGUAUAAUGGGUCAGCGACUUAUAUUCAGUGGCAAGCUUAACCGUAUAGGGUAGGCGUAGCGAAAGCGAGUCUUAAUAGGGCGUUUAGUCGCUGGGUAUAGACCCGAAACCGGGCGAUCUAUCCAUGAGCAGGUUGAAGGUUAGGUAACACUGACUGGAGGACCGAACCCACUCCCGUUGAAAAGGUAGGGGAUGACUUGUGGAUCGGAGUGAAAGGCUAAUCAAGCUCGGAGAUAGCUGGUUCUCCUCGAAAGCUAUUUAGGUAGCGCCUCAUGUAUCACUCUGGGGGGUAGAGCACUGUUUCGGCUAGGGGGUCAUCCCGACUUACCAAACCGAUGCAAACUCCGAAUACCCAGAAGUGCCGAGCAUGGGAGACACACGGCGGGUGCUAACGUCCGUCGUGAAAAGGGAAACAACCCAGACCGCCAGCUAAGGUCCCAAAGUUGUGGUUAAGUGGUAAACGAUGUGGGAAGGCUUAGACAGCUAGGAGGUUGGCUUAGAAGCAGCCACCCUUUAAAGAAAGCGUAAUAGCUCACUAGUCGAGUCGGCCUGCGCGGAAGAUGUAACGGGGCUCAAACCACACACCGAAGCUGCGGGUGUCACGUAAGUGACGCGGUAGAGGAGCGUUCUGUAAGCCUGUGAAGGUGAGUUGAGAAGCUUGCUGGAGGUAUCAGAAGUGCGAAUGCUGACAUGAGUAACGACAAUGGGUGUGAAAAACACCCACGCCGAAAGACCAAGGGUUCCUGCGCAACGUUAAUCGACGCAGGGUUAGUCGGUUCCUAAGGCGAGGCUGAAAAGCGUAGUCGAUGGGAAACAGGUUAAUAUUCCUGUACUUCUGGUUACUGCGAUGGAGGGACGGAGAAGGCUAGGCCAGCUUGGCGUUGGUUGUCCAAGUUUAAGGUGGUAGGCUGAAAUCUUAGGUAAAUCCGGGGUUUCAAGGCCGAGAGCUGAUGACGAGUCGUCUUUUAGAUGACGAAGUGGUUGAUGCCAUGCUUCCAAGAAAAGCUUCUAAGCUUCAGGUAACCAGGAACCGUACCCCAAACCGACACAGGUGGUCGGGUAGAGAAUACCAAGGCGCUUGAGAGAACUCGGGUGAAGGAACUAGGCAAAAUGGCACCGUAACUUCGGGAGAAGGUGCGCCGGCUAGGGUGAAGGAUUUACUCCGUAAGCUCUGGCUGGUCGAAGAUACCAGGCCGCUGCGACUGUUUAUUAAAAACACAGCACUCUGCAAACACGAAAGUGGACGUAUAGGGUGUGACGCCUGCCCGGUGCCGGAAGGUUAAUUGAUGGGGUUAGCGCAAGCGAAGCUCUUGAUCGAAGCCCCGGUAAACGGCGGCCGUAACUAUAACGGUCCUAAGGUAGCGAAAUUCCUUGUCGGGUAAGUUCCGACCUGCACGAAUGGCGUAACGAUGGCGGCGCUGUCUCCACCCGAGACUCAGUGAAAUUGAAAUCGCUGUGAAGAUGCAGUGUAUCCGCGGCUAGACGGAAAGACCCCGUGAACCUUUACUGUAGCUUUGCACUGGACUUUGAGCCUGCUUGUGUAGGAUAGGUGGGAGGCUUUGAAGCGUGGACGCCAGUUCGCGUGGAGCCAUCCUUGAAAUACCACCCUGGCAUGCUUGAGGUUCUAACUCUGGUCCGUAAUCCGGAUCGAGGACAGUGUAUGGUGGGCAGUUUGACUGGGGCGGUCUCCUCCUAAAGAGUAACGGAGGAGUACGAAGGUGCGCUCAGACCGGUCGGAAAUCGGUCGCAGAGUAUAAAGGCAAAAGCGCGCUUGACUGCGAGACAGACACGUCGAGCAGGUACGAAAGUAGGUCUUAGUGAUCCGGUGGUUCUGUAUGGAAGGGCCAUCGCUCAACGGAUAAAAGGUACUCCGGGGAUAACAGGCUGAUACCGCCCAAGAGUUCAUAUCGACGGCGGUGUUUGGCACCUCGAUGUCGGCUCAUCACAUCCUGGGGCUGAAGCCGGUCCCAAGGGUAUGGCUGUUCGCCAUUUAAAGUGGUACGCGAGCUGGGUUUAGAACGUCGUGAGACAGUUCGGUCCCUAUCUGCCGUGGACGUUUGAGAUUUGAGAGGGGCUGCUCCUAGUACGAGAGGACCGGAGUGGACGAACCUCUGGUGUUCCGGUUGUCACGCCAGUGGCAUUGCCGGGUAGCUAUGUUCGGAAAAGAUAACCGCUGAAAGCAUCUAAGCGGGAAACUUGCCUCAAGAUGAGAUCUCACUGGGAACUUGAUUCCCCUGAAGGGCCGUCGAAGACUACGACGUUGAUAGGCUGGGUGUGUAAGCGUUGU